Molecule: long non-coding RNA, 1067 nt
Organism: Homo sapiens (human)
Lineage: Eukaryota; Metazoa; Chordata; Mammalia; Primates; Hominidae
Source: Ensembl
AGGCACCAAUCUGCUGGCACCUUGAUCUCGGACUUCCCAGCCUCCAGAACUGUGAGCAAUAAAUUUGUUGUUUUUAAGCCGCCCAGUCUGUGAUGUUUUGUUUUAGCAUCCCAGACUAAGUAAGGGUUUAAAAGAGGUGAUUAAGUUAAAAUGAGGUCAUCAGGGUGCACCCCAGUCCGACAUAGCUGAUGUCCUUAUAAGAAGAGGAAAUUAGGACACAGACAUAUGCCAUGUGAAGACGCAGGGAGAAUGUGACAUCUGCAAGCCAAGGAGAGAGGCUGCAGGAGAAACCAGCUCUGCUGACACUUUGAUCUCAAGCUCUGGCCACCAGAACUGUGAGCAAAUAAGUGUCUGUUGUUUAGGGCACCCUGUCCAUGGCACCUUGCUCCGAUAGCCCCAGGAAACGAAUCCACAGAGGAGGAAGCCGAGGUUGGGAAAGGUGGAGGGACUUGCCCAAGUCACACAAACGACAACUCAGCAGAGCUGAGAAUUGGCACCCAGGGCAACUGGAGUCCAUCCUGAGCUUGUCACUGCUGGGCUCUGAGACCUCCUGGUGAAGAAGGACAGUGGCAGAGACAGCCCGACCCAGAGAAACCCAGCAACGCUACUUUCUAAGGGCAUUUUUCCCUCUCAUUUGGAAUCCUGAGCCUCCUGCUCGUCCUGUAGGCCACACCCAGCAAACAGAGCUGGCUGGGAACUGGGAGAAGAGCUGGAGCAACAGCCUGCAUCCAUUUCCUCUUGCUGCAAUAACAACUGAUCACAAGAUGGAGUCUCACUCUGUCAACCAGGCUGGAGUGCACUGGCGCAAUCUCGGCUCACUGCAGUCACCUCCUCUCAGGUUCAAGUGAUUCUCCUGCCUCUGCCUCCUGAGUAGCUGGGAUUACAGAAUGUGAGCAUGGAGUCUGGAGCAGGAGCAGCUGUUGUGCACUGUGAGGUUGAAGCCGUGUGUUGAGAAUAGCAGAGCAACAAAGCAAUAGGAGCUGGAGCCCCUAGGGGCCAUGAAGCCCCUACCAGCCCUGGACUGCUUAGAUUUACUUGAGCAAGAAAUAAACCCUUGAUUGUUUAAA